This 287-nucleotide ribosomal RNA is filed under the name uncultured bacterium. RNAcentral's name for it is "partial 16S ribosomal RNA". It matches the Rfam family "Bacterial small subunit ribosomal RNA", at positions 773 to 1060 of the family's 1533-position model. The record is from RNAcentral.
GUGGAUUAGAUACCCUGGUAGUCCACGCCGUAAACGUUGGGCACUAGGUGUGGGUCUCAACCAACGAGAUCCGUGCCGCAGCUAACGCAGUAAGUGCCCCGCCUGGGGAGUACGGCCGCAAGGCUAAAACUCAAAGGAAUUGACGGGGGCCCGCACAAGCGGCGGAGCAUGUUGCUUAAUUCGAGGCAACGCGAAGAACCUUACCUGGGUUUGACAUGUAGAGAAAAGCCGUAGAGAUACGGUGUCCGCAAGGGUUCUACACAGGUGGUGCACGGCCGUCGACAACU